RNAcentral lists this ribosomal RNA (266 nucleotides) under uncultured archaeon. RNAcentral's name for it is "partial 16S ribosomal RNA". It matches the Rfam family "Archaeal small subunit ribosomal RNA", at positions 716 to 982 of the family's 1478-position model. The record is from RNAcentral.
ACAGUCACUGACAUUAGAUACCCCGGUAGUCCAGGGUGUAAACGCUGCAGACUUGGUGUUGGGAACCCUUCGGGGGUGCUCAGUGCCGGAGAGAAGUUGUUAAGUCUGCUACUUGGGAGUACGUCCGCAAGGAUGAAACUUAAAGGAAUUGGCGGGGGAGCACCGCAACGGGAGGAGCGUGCGGUUUAAUUGGAUUCAACGCCGAAAAACUCACCAGCAGCGACUGUUACAUGAAAGUCAGGUUGAUGACCUUACUAGAUUUUCAG